RNAcentral lists this ribosomal RNA (467 nucleotides) under uncultured bacterium. Its description in RNAcentral is "bacterial SSU rRNA". It matches the Rfam family "Bacterial small subunit ribosomal RNA", at positions 355 to 825 of the family's 1533-position model. The record is from RNAcentral.
UGAGGAAUAUUGGACAAUGGGCGCAAGCCUGAUCCAGCCAUGCCGCGUGCAGGAUGACGGUCCUAUGGAUUGUAAACUGCUUUUGUACAGGAAGAAACAGUUCUACGUGUAGAACCUUGACGGUACUGUAAGAAUAAGGAUCGGCUAACUCCGUGCCAGCAGCCGCGGUAAUACGGAGGAUCCAAGCGUUAUCCGGAAUCAUUGGGUUUAAAGGGUCCGUAGGCGGCUAGAUAAGUCAGUGGUGAAAGCCCAUCGCUCAACGGUGGAACGGCCAUUGAUACUGUCUGACUUGAAUUAUUAGGAAGUAACUAGAAUAUGUAGUGUAGCGGUGAAAUGCUUAGAGAUUACAUGGAAUACCAAUUGCGAAGGCAGGUUACUACUAAUGGAUUGACGCUGAUGGACGAAAGCGUGGGUAGCGAACAGGAUUAGAUACCCACGUAGUCCCUGAGCGGGCUGGCAAGGCGCAU